Long non-coding RNA from Ipomoea triloba (trilobed morning glory), 296 nucleotides. RefSeq lists it as uncharacterized. The record is from RefSeq and is a predicted model, not a curated record. The transcript has 3 exons. Lineage: Eukaryota; Viridiplantae; Streptophyta; Magnoliopsida; Solanales; Convolvulaceae.
CUGGGAGGAAGAAGACAGACACAGAGAAAGUGUGUUAGCUUGCUUCCUCUCCAGCAAUAGCUGCUUCCUCUCCGGCAAAGCAUCUGGAAUCACUGUUGCCCUUCGAUCACACAUCAUUUCAUCAUUCUCCUCCACAGCUGUGAAGACUUAUUUAUAGUGUCCUAGGUCUUGAAGAUGGCAACAGUCAUCCUCAAUUUAAAUUCAUUAUGCAUUUCUCCAUGUAUUUAAUAUCUUUUCUGAUGUGUAAGCAACCUUUCGGAUUCCAAGACAUUUAUAUCUUAAAUAUGUUAAAUGAA